GGGUGAGUAACACGUAUGCAACCUGCCCCUGUCAGGGGGACAACCCGCCGAAAGGCGGGCUAAACCCGCGUACAUGCCACCGGGGCAUCCCGGAGGCAGGAAAGGCUUCGGCCGGACAGGGAUGGGCAUGCGGCGCAUUAGGCAGUAGGCGGGGUAACGGCCCACCUAACCGACGAUGCGUAGGGGUUCUGAGAGGAAGGUCCCCCACACUGGUACUGAGACACGGACCAGACUCCUACGGGAGGCAGUAGUGAGGAAUAUUGGUCAAUGGUCGGGAGACUGAACCAGCCAAGCCGCGUGAGGGAGGAAGGUACAGAGUAUCGUAAACCUCUUUUGUCAGGGAACAAAGACUGGGACGCGUCCCCGGAUGAGUGUACCUGAAGAAAAAGCAUCGGCUAACUCCGUGCCAGCAGCCGCGGUAAUACGGAGGAUGCGAGCGUUAUCCGGAUUUAUUGGGUUUAAAGGGUGCGCAGGCGGUCUGUUAAGUCAGCGGUCAAAGCCCGGGGCUCAACCCCGGCCCGCCGUUGAAACUGGCAGUCUCGAGUUGGAGAGAAGUAUGCGGAAUGCGCGGUGUAGCGGUGAAAUGCAUAGAUAUCGCGCAGAACUCCGAUUGCGAAGGCAGCAUGCCGGCUCCACACUGACGCUGAGGCACGAAAGCGUGGGUAUCGAACAGGAUUAGAUACCCUGGUAGUCCACGCAGUAA
This 703-nucleotide ribosomal RNA is filed under the name uncultured bacterium. RNAcentral's name for it is "bacterial SSU rRNA". It matches the Rfam family "Bacterial small subunit ribosomal RNA", at positions 104 to 805 of the family's 1533-position model. The record is from RNAcentral.